UGGGGAAUAUUGCACAAUGGGCGCAAGCCUGAUGCAGCCAUGCCGCGUGUGUGAAGAAGGCCUUCGGGUUGUAAAGCACUUUCAGCGAGGAGGAAGGUGGUGAGCUUAAUACGCUCAUCAAUUGACGUUACUCGCAGAAGAAGCACCGGCUAACUCCGUGCCAGCAGCCGCGGUAAUACGGAGGGUGCAAGCGUUAAUCGGAAUUACUGGGCGUAAAGCGCACGCAGGCGGUUUGUUAAGUCAGAUGUGAAAUCCCCGGGCUCAACCUGGGAACUGCAUUUGAAACUGGCAAGCUAGAGUCUCGUAGAGGGGGUAGAAUUCCAGGUGUAGCGGUGAAAUGCGUAGAGAUCUGGAGGAAUACCGGUGGCGAAGGCGGCCCCCUGGACGAAGACUGACGCUCAGGUGCGAAAGCGUGGGGCAGCAAACAGGAUUAGAUACCCUGGUAGUCCACGCUGUAAAACGAUGUCGAUUUUGGAGGUUGUGCCCUUGAGGCGUGGCUUCCGGAGCUAACGCGUUAAAUCGACCGCCUGGGGAGUACGGCCGCAAGGUUAAAACUUAAAGGAAUUG
RNAcentral lists this ribosomal RNA (567 nucleotides) under uncultured bacterium. RNAcentral's name for it is "partial 16S ribosomal RNA". It matches the Rfam family "Bacterial small subunit ribosomal RNA", at positions 355 to 912 of the family's 1533-position model. The record is from RNAcentral.